This 860-nucleotide ribosomal RNA is filed under the name uncultured fungus. RNAcentral's name for it is "SSU rRNA". It matches the Rfam family "Eukaryotic small subunit ribosomal RNA", at positions 612 to 1507 of the family's 1831-position model. The record is from RNAcentral. Lineage: Eukaryota; Fungi.
GUUGCAGUUAAAAAGCUCGUAGUUGAACCUUGGGUCUGGCUGGCCGGUCCGCCUCACCGCGAGUACUGGUCCGGCUGGACCUUUCCUUCUGGGGAACCUCAUGGCCUUCACUGGCUGUGGGGGGAACCAGGACUUUUACUGUGAAAAAAUUAGAGUGUUCAAAGCAGGCCUUUGCUCGAAUACAUUAGCAUGGAAUAAUAGAAUAGGACGUGUGGUUCUAUUUUGUUGGUUUCUAGGACCGCCGUAAUGAUUAAUAGGGAUAGUCGGGGGCGUCAGUAUUCAGCUGUCAGAGGUGAAAUUCUUGGAUUUGCUGAAGACUAACUACUGCGAAAGCAUUCGCCAAGGAUGUUUUCAUUAAUCAGGGAACGAAAGUUAGGGGAUCGAAGACGAUCAGAUACCGUCGUAGUCUUAACCAUAAACUAUGCCGACUAGGGAUCGGACGGUGUUCUUAUUAUGACCCGUUCGGCACCUUACGAGAAAUCAAAGUUUUUGGGUUCUGGGGGGAGUAUGGUCGCAAGGCUGAAACUUAAAGAAAUUGACGGAAGGGCACCACAAGGCGUGGAGCCUGCGGCUUAAUUUGACUCAACACGGGGAAACUCACCAGGUCCAGACAAAAUAAGGAUUGACAGAUUGAGAGCUCUUUCUUGAUCUUUUGGAUGGUGGUGCAUGGCCGUUCUUAGUUGGUGGAGUGAUUUGUCUGCUUAAUUGCGAUAACGAACGAGACCUCGGCCCUUAAAUAGCCCGGUCCGCAUUUGCGGGCCGCUGGCUUCUUAGGGGGACUAUCGGCUCAAGCCGAUGGAGUGCGCGGCAUACAGUCUGUGAUGCCCUUAGAUGUCUGGGCGCCCGCGCGCUACACUGAC